RNAcentral lists this long non-coding RNA (752 nucleotides) under Fukomys damarensis (Damara mole-rat). Its description in RNAcentral is "lncRNA (ENSFDAG00000026837.1)". Lineage: Eukaryota; Metazoa; Chordata; Mammalia; Rodentia; Bathyergidae. The record is from RNAcentral.
GCUAUGUGGUACGGAGCGCGCGUCAGAAUCGCCACGAGUUCUCUCGCACCACAGUGGUCUCUGAGGCUCCAAAGGGACAAGGUCCCCGGACGGCCUCGAGCUCCAGGGACGCAGGAGCCAGGCCUCGACUUGGGCCUCAGCACCGGCCAGAGCUCACUGUGGUCCGUCCCUGUGAGCUCCGGGCCUCUCCAGGGCGGCUUCUCUCUAUGCAGACAGCGGAAAGAGGAGAAAUCUUCUUUAUGAGAAGCCCGCCUGGGGCCUUGAGGUCAGAAGAAGAGACUUCUCGUGCCACCUUCAUAGUUCUUUGCUCUGUUUCUAGCAGUCCUUAGCUCCUACAGCCUUUUGCGGAUGUCUGCCUUUGUCAUGGGGAAGUCAGUUCCUGGAAAACACACCACGUAGUUCUCCAUUGCUGGAGCUGUCGUUGUACCAGCACAAGGCUUUUGGAGUCAACUGUGGGUUCCGGUUGCUUAUUCUGGAAGUGGUUCCAGGAGGCAAAGAUGAGGCACAGAGGACAGAAACAGCAGAUGAGGAGGAAAUUCAGGAGCUGGCCCUCUUCCAGCACAGCCGGGCUCAGCCAGGACAGCCCUCUAAGGGAUCUUCUGGAUUGCGCCUCCCAGGGACGGGAGCUGGAACCUGGACCCCACCAGACACUGCCGCUCCAUGGCUGGGAGUUGUGGCCUUGGAUAAGCAAUCCCUGGCCCUGGGGCUGCCUGGCCCAGAUGGACCAACUCCAACACUCUACAGGGAAGUAG